RNAcentral lists this ribosomal RNA (253 nucleotides) under uncultured bacterium. RNAcentral's name for it is "partial 16S ribosomal RNA". It matches the Rfam family "Bacterial small subunit ribosomal RNA", at positions 524 to 776 of the family's 1533-position model. The record is from RNAcentral.
UACGUAGGGGACUAGCGUUGUCCGGAAUCAUUGGGCGUAAAGCGCGUGUAGGCGGUCCGGUAAGUCCGCUGUGAAAGUCGGGGGCUCAACCCUCGAAUGCCGGUGGAUACUGUCGGGCUAGAGUGCGGAAGAGGCGAGUGGAAUUCCUGGUGUAGCGGUGAAAUGCGCAGAUAUCAGGAGGAACACCAAUUGCGAAGGCAGCUCGCUGGGACGUUACUGACGCUGAGACGCGAAAGCGUGGGGAGCAAACAGG